AAUCCGUGGUGCGGGUUUUUUUGAAUCAACAUUUUGAACCGAUCCCGUGCCUCAUAAAAACUUUCUCCCUUCAUCUGUCUAAAGAUAACAAUCUUUCUUCUUAAUU
Gossypium raimondii (Peruvian cotton) is the source of this 106-nucleotide non-coding RNA. Lineage: Eukaryota; Viridiplantae; Streptophyta; Magnoliopsida; Malvales; Malvaceae. The record is from Rfam.